UACGUAGGUGCCAAGCGUUAUCCGGAUUUAUUGGGCUUAAAGGGCGCGUAGGCGGCUUAUUAAGUCAGUGGUGAAAGCCUUCAGCUUAACUGAAGAACUGCCAUUGAUACUGAUGAUCUUGAGUAUGAUUGAGGCGGGCGGAAUGUGUCAUGUAGCGGUGAAAUGCUUAGAUAUGAGGCAGAACACCGAUUGCGAAGGCAGCUCGCUAAGCCAUAACUGACGCUGAUGCACGAAAGCGUGGGGAGCAAACAGG
Molecule: ribosomal RNA, 253 nt
Filed under: uncultured bacterium
Lineage: Bacteria
Description: partial 16S ribosomal RNA
Rfam family: Bacterial small subunit ribosomal RNA
Source: RNAcentral